Portunus trituberculatus (swimming crab) is the source of this 216-nucleotide long non-coding RNA. RefSeq lists it as uncharacterized. Lineage: Eukaryota; Metazoa; Arthropoda; Malacostraca; Decapoda; Portunidae. The transcript is spliced from 3 exons. The record is from RefSeq and is a predicted model, not a curated record.
AACACGGUGACCGCCCCACUUGCCCCACCUAGUCCACCACCUCCACCUGCUUAGUGAAAGGUUUUCAAGGAGCACCAAGCACCAGCUCCAAGAGGCAACCAGCAUGAGAACCAAUGCACACCUUCACCAUACUGCCUAAUCUUCGUCUGUUAAAGGCUCAGACGUGUGGAUGGAAGGAGUAGGAGGAAGAAGAAGGAGUAACAAUGGAGAAGGAUG